Molecule: non-coding RNA, 136 nt
Organism: Triticum urartu
Lineage: Eukaryota; Viridiplantae; Streptophyta; Magnoliopsida; Poales; Poaceae
Source: Rfam
AUUCUACUCCCUCCCUUGCACAAUACAUGCCUUCUAUUUGUCAAAAUAUAUAUGUAUCUAGACAUGUCUUAGUAUAUAGGUACAUCCAUUUUUGGACAAAUGGAAGUCAAGUAUUUUGGAACGGAGGGAGUACACA